GAUGAACGCUGGCGGCGUGCCUAAUACAUGCAAGUCGAACGGGGCACAAGUAGUAAUACGAGUGCCUAGUGGCGAACGGGUGAGUAACGCGUUGGUGAUCUGCCUCGAAGUGUGGAAUAACGUUCCGAAAGGAAUGCUAAUACCGCAUGGUCUUCUGGUUUUUAGAAAGCUGGAAGUAAAGGAGUAAUUCGCUUCGAGAGGAGCCUGCGUCCCAUCAGCUAGUUGGUAAGGUAAUGGCUUACCAAGGCAAUGACGGGUAGGGGACCUGAGAGGGUGGCCCCCCACAAUGGAACUGAAACACGGUCCAUACACCUACGGGAGGCUG
Molecule: ribosomal RNA, 325 nt
Filed under: uncultured Chloroflexota bacterium
Lineage: Bacteria; Bacillati; Chloroflexota
Description: bacterial SSU rRNA
Rfam family: Bacterial small subunit ribosomal RNA
Source: RNAcentral